UGGUUCAGUUGUCAACGACAACCUACAUCCAGUCCUGACAAUCCAACUGGAUUUCAGCUUUUUCUCCAAUAGAAAGAAUUGUGACUUGUUUAUAGAUUGUCCAGUUUCCUCGAAACCUAUCUAUCUAACACAAUCUCUUUCCUAUUGCUUAACCCCUUGAUCCUUGCAGUCACUCGGCAGACUCACACAAAAUCAAGUCAAGCUCCUUCUUGAUGAGGCCUCUCACCCAAGAAGAUCGCCACCAGUUUCUAGCUGGAUUUUUCGCAGUCUUUUCUUUACAAAG
Molecule: long non-coding RNA, 283 nt
Filed under: Cicer arietinum (chickpea)
Lineage: Eukaryota; Viridiplantae; Streptophyta; Magnoliopsida; Fabales; Fabaceae
Description: long non-coding RNA (CARI_LNC003463)
Source: RNAcentral